CCAGAGAACUUUCCAGAGAUGGAUUGGUGCCUUCGGGAACUCUGAGACAGGUGCUGCAUGGCUGACGUCAGCUCGUGUUGUGAAAUGUUGGGUUAAGUCCCGCAACGAGCGCAACCCUUAUCCUUUGUCGCCAGCGGUUAGGCCGGGAACUCAAAGGAGACUGCCAGUGAUAAACUGGAGGAAGGUGGGGAUGACGUCAAGUCAUCAUGGCCCUUACGAGUAGGGCUACACACGUGCUACAAUGGCGCAUACAAAGAGAAGCGACCUCGCGAGAGCAAGCGGACCUCAUAAAGUGCGUCGUAGUCCGGAUUGGAGUCUGCAACUCGACUCCAUGAAGUCGGAAUCGCUAGUAAUCGUGGAUCAGAAUGCCACGGUGAAUACGUUCCCGGGCCUUGUACACACCGCCCGUCACACCAUGGGAGUGGGUUGCAAAAGAAGUAGGUAGCUUAACCUUCGGGAGGGCGCUUACCACUUUGUGAUUCAUGACUGGGGUGAAGUCGUAACAAGGUAAGCGUAGAUGA
RNAcentral lists this ribosomal RNA (521 nucleotides) under uncultured bacterium. Its description in RNAcentral is "bacterial SSU rRNA". It matches the Rfam family "Bacterial small subunit ribosomal RNA", at positions 988 to 1509 of the family's 1533-position model. The record is from RNAcentral.